This 253-nucleotide ribosomal RNA is filed under the name uncultured bacterium. RNAcentral describes it as "partial 16S ribosomal RNA". It matches the Rfam family "Bacterial small subunit ribosomal RNA", at positions 524 to 776 of the family's 1533-position model. The record is from RNAcentral.
GACGAGGGAUCCAAGCGUUGUUCGGAAUUAUUGGGCGUAAAGGGCGCGUAGGCGGUGCGGUAAGUCACCUGUGAAAUCUCCUGGCUCAACUGGGAGCUUGCAGGCGAAACUGCCGUGCUGGAGUGUGGGAGAGGUGAGUGGAAUUCCUGGUGUAGCGGUGAAAUGCGUAGAUAUCGGGAGGAACACCUGUGGCGAAAGCGGCUCACUGGACCACAACUGACGCUGAGGCGCGAAAGCUAGGGGAGCAAACAGG